Molecule: ribosomal RNA, 420 nt
Filed under: Modisimus femoratus
Lineage: Eukaryota; Metazoa; Arthropoda; Arachnida; Araneae; Pholcidae
Description: partial 16S ribosomal RNA
Source: RNAcentral
AUUGCUUUAAGUAAUAAUUUAAAGUAGAACCUGCUCAAUGUUAAAACAUAAAUAGCUGCAGAUUCCUCUGUACUAAGGUAGCAUAAUCAUUAGCCUUCUAAUUUAAGGAUAGAAUGAAUGGUUAAACGAAGUAAACGCUGUUUCUGUGAUUAACCAAUUAAAUUUUAAUAAAAGUAAAAAUACUUUUUUUUAAAAAGAAAGACGACAAGACCCUAAUAAACUUCAAUUUAGCUGGGGCGGCAAAAUAAUAAAAACUUAUUCUAAGAAAUAUUAAUUCUAUUAUAAUUCACUAUAAAAUCAAGUUACUAUAGGGAUAACAGCGUUAUUUAAAUUUAAAGAUCUCAUUAAAAUUUAAUCUUACGACCUCGAUGUUGAAUUAAUUUUAACUUUAUAAAGCAAAAUUUAUAAAAGAAGGUCUGU